UACGAAGGGUGCAAACGUUGCUCGGAAUUAUUGGGCGUAAAGCGCACGUAGGCGGCUAUCUAAGUCGGAUGUGAAAUCCCUCGGCUUAACCAAGGAAGUGCACCCGAAACUGGAUAGCUUGAGUACAGAAGAGGAUCGCGGAAUUCCCGGUGUAGAGGUGAAAUUCGUAGAUAUCGGGAGGAACACCAGUGGCGAAGGCGGCGAUCUGGGCUGAUACUGACGCUCAUGCACGAAAGCGUGGGGAGCAAACAGG
This 253-nucleotide ribosomal RNA is filed under the name uncultured bacterium. RNAcentral describes it as "partial 16S ribosomal RNA". It matches the Rfam family "Bacterial small subunit ribosomal RNA", at positions 524 to 776 of the family's 1533-position model. The record is from RNAcentral.